Molecule: long non-coding RNA, 686 nt
Organism: Onychostoma macrolepis
Lineage: Eukaryota; Metazoa; Chordata; Actinopteri; Cypriniformes; Cyprinidae
Exons: 3
Source: RefSeq, a predicted model, not a curated record
UGUGUUUUAGGCCAUGUUGGCCAAUCAGAAGCCUGAAAAAGUUUCCAGUAGGCGGAGAUAACAGCGCAGGCUCCGACGUCACAAGCCAAAAACUUAGCUGUCUACAUGAUAACACUGCAACCGGAGCUUUUUAAAAUCUUCACCCUGGCAGGAGUUUUCAAAAUGUUCGGUUUCAGUGACCUGCUGCAGCGUCUGCGUGAGGACGAAUGGCCAAACCGCAUAGAAAAAGCUGCUGUUUUGAAAAUAACCGCGUUCGUGUGGACGGCCAAUGAGCGCGCGCGUUGAGCAUUCAAAUCACAUUUAAACUGAAGCGGAGGAGGUUACCAUGGUAACAGGGCGUCAACUCACUCAGCUGACAAGUAGCAAGAGGCUGUCUCUCUGCUGUUUUCACUGCUUUCAGGAGUGGUUUAGUGUCUUCAAAAAGACCGUUAGCAUCAGAGGCUAACAAUUAGAGGAGCGUCAGAAAAAAAGACCUAAAACAGGGGAAGUUACAAGAAAAUUUGUAAUGGGAGCUGCUGACAGAGAUACAGGAAACACAGGUGAUCUGAGAAAUCUUAUUAAAUAACUUUAUAUGAAUUUUUCACUAUACAUUUCAACUAUAUCAUCAUGCAUCUGUAAAACCUAAAAAUAUGAAUUCUGGUAUCUUAAGAUUUUUUGUAUAUUAUUAUUAUUAUUGCAUUUCACCU